AGUGAUAUACAACAAUACUAACAGGAGGCCGGACUGCACAUAUAAACACUUUUGCAAUUCACGGCCAAUGUGCCACAAUAAGAUAUCCCUAUCGACAGUUGACCUUUUACCAUCAUUGCGAUCACUACUUUGUCUGAUAAUUAACUUAACUUUCUACCACGUAUAUAUUGUGUGUGUGUGUGUGACCGUCAGCUCCCUGUUGGAUUAUAUCAUCUCUAGGUGUCCAGCAGGUUGUAUUAUCUAUUUAAUAUUUCGAUCACUUAAUAAAUAUUUAUUUAUAUCCUUGUUAACUAAAAUUGUUAUAUAUAUAUAUAUUUUAGUGCGACCCUUGGUAGUUCCUCUAAAGGAAUAUAAAUUAAAUAGGGAACUUCAGUACCUAAAGCAGAUAUACCAGAGCCAGCUAUCCCCCGUUGGUUCCUUAGAAUACUGUCGAUGGGCAUUUAGGCUCACCCUCUAAGUAGCGACGUAACAAUCGUUAUAUCACUUGAUACGGGAAAAACAGGUGGCGAAUAAAAUAGACAACACUGGGUUAGUUUUCCAAGUGGCGUCGAGCCGUUUAAUAAAAAAAUAAUGAAUGUCAAAAAUGAUCGAAACUGCGGUGGCGGUUCGGUUGGGUUGACGGACUUUGAAAAAAAACGAUUUAGGUGCCAUGAAGUUGACUGCUUGGCCGUAUUAUUGUGGUGGAUAUUCGACACUAGGCAUUUAUUGGACUUUACACCACGAUGAUAACGCGUGUGUGUAACGGUCCGGUUUACAGUGGAGCGGUUGCUGCGAAGGAGCUGACAUGACUUCGGGGUGUCAAACGUGUGACAACGCCGUGGCCGUGUCACACUUAAGGAGCGCAAUGGAUUAUUCUUUCGACAUCUUAAUACUGAUGUUCAGCUGCGCUGUUUGCUAUUACGUCUCAGAUGGGUGAACAUACGAGAACUUUAAUAGUGAAACACACGUUGCUCCCUUACUAGUUCCCUUAGCCAUAAUGAGGUUGCAUCAGUUGACAGCCGGUGUAUUAAUUCUGUCAAAUCAUUGUAAGGAAGAGCCGAACCCAAAUGGUUGGGAUAGAGACUAAAGAGUUCCUUAUCAAUCAUUAACAUCAUCAUCAUGAUGUUGUAUAUUAUUUGUUAAAACUAACAUUUUUUAUGUAAAUUGCCUAACAUUAUUGUGCGUAUUGUAUAGAAACUAAUUUCAAUACGAUUAGUCUAACUUUUGUACUUAAAUAGCCGUUUGACCGAUUAUUAUGAGUCACAAAUACUAAUUUUGAUAUUUAAUAUAACGUAUGCUAUUUUUUAAAAUAUUCUAAUGAUAUUUGUUACUCUAACGUUAAACUAAGUACUCAUUUUAAAUUUAAAAUUUUUAUCUAUACUAAAAGUCUAACCAUACAAUUUUGUUUUUUAACCACCAUUAUAAUGGCCCCAGUAAGUAAUUCAUCAUUAGUUCACACAAAAAUCAAAGCCAAAUAUUUAUGUUUAUUUAAUCGUUUAACCUACUCUAUAACAUAAUUAUUACCCCCUCAUAACUGUUUUCUCUAUCUUUAAAAUUAUUCACGUUAAAAUCCAGAUCUCUUAAAUAAAACUUCUUUUCCAGUUGUCAUAAUAAUUUCUAUCAUUACUAUUGUAAUACUGUCAUGUCGCCCCCUUGUCACUAUAGUCAUUAAAAUUUGCAUUUCUAUAAAAUGGAUAAGUAUGGGUAUCUCGGGUUUGAAUAGUAUUAAAUAAAUUAUGUUAAAUAUUUUUUUUAAGUUCUAUAAUUUCUCUUAAUGGUUUAUUAUGCAAUAGAUUGUUUGAGAUUCGAAAACGUAGAUUAAAUUGUACUCAUCUUAUGUCCUAUGUCAUGAAAUAAUACUUUAAAUAAUCCAAAAUUUCUUCUGUUAUUAAAUGCUCUACGUAUACGUUUCACACUACGCGCCAUAUAGUCAAUAUAAUUAUCUACGAAAACGACUCACAUUUAAAAACAAACGAUUUAAUUACACAAAUUCUAUGACUGAUAUUACUUGUAAAAUAUUCUAAACACUCUAAAUUUUUAUUAUAAAUAUAAUUUUGCAAUUUGUCCUUAUUUUAUUUUUUUAUCUUUGUUGAAUAAGUAUUUUUUUAAAGAGUAUAUUUUAUUGAGAGAUCGACACCAGAUAUUUUUUGAAACUUCCUCUGCCCUAGUCAAAACAAGAUUCAAAAAAAUUUUGGUGCGAUGUUCGUUAGAACAAAGGCAUUAAUCUCUAAAACUAGUUACCCAAUUAGAGAAGUUGACAAUGGAUUGUACCAAUAAAUACAUAUUUAAAAUUAAUUUUGAUUUAUUAUUAAAGUAAAAUAUUUAAAAAAAAGUUUAAUGUUUUAAAUAUUAAUUGACGUUUAU
Molecule: long non-coding RNA, 2343 nt
Organism: Daktulosphaira vitifoliae (grape phylloxera)
Lineage: Eukaryota; Metazoa; Arthropoda; Insecta; Hemiptera; Phylloxeridae
Exons: 3
Source: RefSeq, a predicted model, not a curated record